GUAGUCAUAUGCUUGUCUCAAAGAUUAAGCCAUGCAUGUCUAAGUACAUACCUUUGCACGGUGAAACCGCGAAUGGCUCAUUAAAUCAGUUAUGGUUCCUUAGAUCGUUCAUAUUACAUGGAUAACUGUGGUAAUUCUAGGGCUAAUACAUGCAAAAAGCUCCGACCGUAUGGGAAGAGCGCUCUUAUUAGACCAAAACCAAUGGGGUCGCAAGAUCCCUUUGUAUGGUGACUCUGGAUAACUUUGUGCCGAUCGCAUGGCCUCGAGCCGGCGACGUAUCUUUCAAAUGUCUGCCCUAUCAACUUUCGAUGGUAAGCGAUUUGCCUACCAUGGUUGCAACGGGUAACGGGGAAU
RNAcentral lists this ribosomal RNA (354 nucleotides) under uncultured fungus. Its description in RNAcentral is "SSU rRNA". It matches the Rfam family "Eukaryotic small subunit ribosomal RNA", at positions 20 to 370 of the family's 1831-position model. The record is from RNAcentral. Lineage: Eukaryota; Fungi.